GUCAGCUCAGAGCAGACUCUGAAGGAGCAGGUGGCUCAGCUUUUCUCGUUCGUAGACCCAGGCCAGGAACGUCUUAAAACCUUCAGGCUAACCAUGUCACAGCGAGGGUCUUUGUUUUCUCCAGCAUGGCUGGGACCUGAGCACUGGCAAGGUGAUGUAAGAUGGGACUGAGAACUGAAUCUUCUUCUCCGCCUUGACUUGUGCACAGUGACAAGGAAAUUACCUGCCACGCCCCUCCCUCCACACAGCUUACUGUCUGCAUUGACAUGACUUUACUAUUUCAUGCUUUACACAACCUGUUGUAUGGAAGUUUCUAUUUAAAUAUGUCCUCUUUAAUGUAUGCGG
This is a long non-coding RNA of Heterocephalus glaber (naked mole-rat), 345 nucleotides long. The record is from Ensembl. NCBI's taxonomy places the organism in Eukaryota, Metazoa, Chordata, Mammalia, Rodentia, Bathyergidae.